GAUGAACGCUGGCGGCGUGCCUAACACAUGCAAGUCGAGCGAUCUUCUUCGGAAGAGAGCGGCGGACGGGUGAGUAACGCGUGGGUAACCUGCCCUGUACACACGGAUAACAUACCGAAAGGUAUGCUAAUACGAGAUAAUAUGCUUUUAUCGCAUGGUAGAAGUAUCAAAGCUCCGGCGGUACAGGAUGGACCCGCGUCUGAUUAGCUAGUUGGUAAGGUAACGGCUUACCAAGGCGACGAUCAGUAGCCGACCUGAGAGGGUGAUCGGCCACAUUGGAACUGAGACACGGUCCAAACUCCUACGGGAGGCAGCAGUGGGGAAUAUUGCACAAUGGGCGAAAGCCUGAUGCAGCAACGCCGCGUGAGCGAUGAGGGCCUUCGGGUCGUAAAGCUCUGUCCUCAUGGAAGAUAAUGACGGUACUUGAGGAGGAAGCCCCGGCUAACUACGUGCCAGCAGCCGCCGCAG
This 468-nucleotide ribosomal RNA is filed under the name uncultured bacterium. RNAcentral describes it as "partial 16S ribosomal RNA". It matches the Rfam family "Bacterial small subunit ribosomal RNA", at positions 28 to 523 of the family's 1533-position model. The record is from RNAcentral.